CCGACCCGCACGAAAGGCGUAACGAUUUGGGCACUGUCUCAACGAGAGACUCGGUGAAAUCAUAGUACCUGUGAAGAUGCAGGUUACCCGCGACAGGACGGAAAGACCCCGUGGAGCUUUACUGUAGCCUGAUAUUGAAAUUCGGCACAGCUUGUACAGGAUAGGUAGGAGCCUUUGAAACGUGAGCGCUAGCUUACGUGGAGGCGCUGGUGGGAUACUACCCUAGCUGUGUUGGCUUUCUAACCCGCACCACUUAUCGUGGUGGGAGACAGUGUCAGGCGGGCAGUUUGACUGGGGCGGUCGCCUCCUAAAAGGUAACGGAGGCGCUCAAAGGUUCCCUCAGAAUGGUUGGAAAUCAUUCAUAGAGUGUAAAGGCAUAAGGGAGCUUGACUGCGAGACCUACAAGUCGAGCAGGGUCGAAAGACGGACUUAGUGAUCCGGUGGUUCCGCAUGGAAGGGCCAUCGCUCAACGGAUAAAAGCUACCCCGGGGAUAACAGGCUUAUCUCCCCCAAGAGUUCACAUCGACGGGGAGGUUUGGCACCUCGAUGUCGGCUCAUCGCAUCCUGGGGCUGUAGUCGGUCCCAAGGGUUGGGCUGUUCGCCCAUUAAAGCGGUACGCGAGCUGGGUUCAGAACGUCGUG
This 641-nucleotide ribosomal RNA is filed under the name Staphylococcus aureus. RNAcentral describes it as "partial 23S ribosomal RNA". It matches the Rfam family "Bacterial large subunit ribosomal RNA", at positions 1983 to 2623 of the family's 2925-position model. Lineage: Bacteria; Bacillati; Bacillota; Bacilli; Caryophanales; Staphylococcaceae. The record is from RNAcentral.